This 71-nucleotide transfer RNA is filed under the name Camelus bactrianus (Bactrian camel). It matches the Rfam family "tRNA". From Rfam's summary of the family: Transfer RNA (tRNA) molecules are approximately 80 nucleotides in length. Their secondary structure includes four short double-helical elements and three loops (D, anti-codon, and T loops). Further hydrogen bonds mediate the characteristic L-shaped molecular structure. tRNAs have two regions of fundamental functional importance: the anti-codon, which is responsible for specific mRNA codon recognition, and the 3' end, to which the tRNAs corresponding amino acid is attached (by aminoacyl-tRNA synthetases). tRNAs cope with the degeneracy of the genetic code in two manners: having more than one tRNA (with a specific anti-codon) for a particular amino acid; and 'wobble' base-pairing, i.e. permitting non-standard base-pairing at the 3rd anti-codon position. The record is from Rfam by way of RNAcentral. RNAcentral also lists the same sequence under 2 other names. Lineage: Eukaryota; Metazoa; Chordata; Mammalia; Artiodactyla; Camelidae.
GGAGUUAUAGCUCAGUGGUAGAGCACAUGUUUAACAUGCAUGAGGCCAUGGUUCAAUCUCCACUACCUCCG